This 253-nucleotide ribosomal RNA is filed under the name uncultured bacterium. Its description in RNAcentral is "partial 16S ribosomal RNA". It matches the Rfam family "Bacterial small subunit ribosomal RNA", at positions 524 to 776 of the family's 1533-position model. The record is from RNAcentral.
UACAGAGGUCUCAAGCGUUGUUCGGAUUCAUUGGGCGUAAAGGGUGCGUAGGCGGCGCGGUAAGUCGGGUGUGAAAUCUCGGAGCUUAACUCCGAAACUGCAUUCGAUACUGCCGUGCUUGAGGACUGGAGAGGAGACUGGAAUUUACGGUGUAGCGGUGAAAUGCGUAGAUAUCGUAAGGAAGACCAGUGGCGAAGGCGGGGCCCUGGACAGAUCCUGACGCUGAGGCACGAAGGCCAGGGGAGCAAACGGG